CCUCUUUCCAGCACAGCUCAUCGUGACGUUUGUGGGAUGUCCCCAGCACCCUCCAUUCCCCUUUACACACAGGAGUUUCAAGGAGCUGGGAUGAAAAGCCUUGAGGGAAAGCCUUCACCACAGAGGUGAUGUGAUGAAGAAGAAUGAAAACACAAGAAGCACCUUGAGUUUGAACAAGUGUAACAAAGGUUUGCAGGUUUCAGAACCUGUAAGCACAGCAAAUCACUCUGCUCCUACUGAAAUAAAGCCCCAAACACCAGAGGCAAGAAUUGCAUCUGCUGAAUGCAGGGAAUGACCUUGAAGGAAAAAGGAAGGACACAUUUCUCAGCAGGAUAAAGAGAAAAAAGUGAUGGAGCUGCUUGUGGAUAGAUGAAUUUUUUAAAAAGGAGCUUUAUCAGACACCCACUAGCCAGAGGCAAACAUGCUCUGGAGCCCAGGUUCAGGAAUAUCCAAAUAAAUUGCAUUCCCUGCAGCUGGAGACCGGAAAGAUCAGGAAGAAAGCUCCAUGAGGCUCUUCCCUAACACAGAAUCUUUUAAGGGAUCUUGUAGAUUUGCUGUAUUUAAAACUGGAACUGCUGCUGGUCUCUACUCCACACUCAGCCCCAGCUGCCAUAAACCUUUAUCAGGAACCUGCCAACACAGCUAGCCAGAUUCCAGGAGCACAAAUUCCACCAGGGAGUACAAAGUAUAUCCAACAGCAAAAGCUUCCACGAAGCAUAAUUGAGCACAGAAAAUGACAUGUUAAAACGAGCAGGAACUGGCUGGCCUCGGAUGUAAAUUCAUUCAUACUUUUACUUUCUUUUUUUAAAUAUCUGUGCUGCUCGCUCUGGCUUGUUAUGACAGGCUGAGGCAUCGAAGGAGUUUUCUGUCCUCAUCCUGGGCACAGAAACACAAAUCCUGCCCUGGAAUUACUACUUCCCUCACAACCUGCAGGAGGGACAGCCCAGCAACAGCAUCCAAGGCAGGGAAGGGCUCAGAUUGGUAAGGAAGAGCCACAAGAUCUCCCCACUUGGCUUAACACAUCUUCAGUAGCUCUGAUGAACAUUAAAUAGGAAAGAAUCUCAGAAAUAGAGAACUAAUUAAAAUUCACAAGGUUAAAGAAAGGGAGGAGAUGAAGCACCUGGGAAGAAAAAAACAGAAAAAAAGAAGCUGACAAAUUGGAAGGAAGAAGGAAUCGUCAGAAGGCAGAGCUUUGGAGGAGAGGGUGGAAGAUAGAAAAUCACAGAAUCACAGAACAUUCUGAGCAGUAAGGGACCCACAAGGACACCCCACAAAGGCAAAGCAG
Long non-coding RNA from Cyanistes caeruleus (blue tit), 1285 nucleotides. RefSeq lists it as uncharacterized. Lineage: Eukaryota; Metazoa; Chordata; Aves; Passeriformes; Paridae. The record is from RefSeq and is a predicted model, not a curated record.